UCUGCUCAAUGAUAUUAAAUUAAAUAGCCGCAGUAUUUUGACUGUGCGAAGGUAGCAUAAUCAAUAGUUUUUUAAUUGAAGACUGGAAUGAAUGAGGGGAUGAAAUUUUAACUGUCUCAGUUUUAAUAAUAGAAAUUUAAUUUAAGUAAGAAUUCUUAAAUUAUUUAAAGGGACGAGAAGACCCUAUAGAAUUUUAAAUUUAAUUAUUUAUUAUUUAAUUAAUUUAAUUUAAAUAAUAAAUAAUUAAGUUUUUUAUUGGGAGGAUAAUUAAAUUUAAUUAACUUUAUUUUAAUUAGGACAAUAAUGUUUGAUUUUUUGAGAUAAAAUUUAUUUUUUAAAAGAUAAAUUACCUUAGGGAUAACAGCGUAAUAUUUUUGGAGAGAUCUUAUUAAUAAAAAUGUUUGCGACCUCGAUGUUGAAUUAAAAUAAAAUUUGAAUGAAGAAGUUCAAUAUUUA
This 456-nucleotide ribosomal RNA is filed under the name Hedychridium monochroum. RNAcentral's name for it is "partial 16S ribosomal RNA". The record is from RNAcentral. Lineage: Eukaryota; Metazoa; Arthropoda; Insecta; Hymenoptera; Chrysididae.